GAUGAACGCUGGCGGCGUGCCUAAUACAUGCAAGUCGAGCGAACGGACGAGAAGCUUGCUUCUCUGAUGUUAGCGGCUGACGGGUGAGUAACACGUGGAUAACCUACCUAUAAGACUGGGAUAACUUCGGGAAACCGGAGCUAAUACCGGAUAAUAUUUUGAACCGCAUGGUUCAAAAGUGAAAGACGGUCUUUCUGUCUCUUAUAGAUGGUUCCGCGCUGCAUUAGCUAGUUGGUAAGGUAACGGCUUACCAAGGCAACGAUGCAUAGCCGACCUGAGAGGGUGAUAGGCCACACUGGAACUGAGACACGGUCCAGACUACUACGGGAGGCAGCAGUAGGGAAUCUUCCGCAAUGGGCGAAAGCCUGACGGAGCAACGCCGCGUGAGUGAUGAAGGUCUUCGGAUCGUAAAACUCUGUUAUUAGGGAAGAACAUAUGUGUAAGUAACUGUGCACAUAUUGACGGUACCUAAUCAGAAAGCAACGGCUAACUACGUG
RNAcentral lists this ribosomal RNA (497 nucleotides) under uncultured bacterium. RNAcentral describes it as "partial 16S ribosomal RNA". It matches the Rfam family "Bacterial small subunit ribosomal RNA", at positions 28 to 507 of the family's 1533-position model. The record is from RNAcentral.